AUUGCCCUCGAAUAAUUGGAUGCAGAUUCACAUUCUCGUUCGGUUCAGACAGGGGCAUAUACAAAUCUGAAUCCUUUCUUUAUUUAUAUAUGAAGAGGAUGCUAGUUUUUGUAGAUCCUUUCUUAGAUGGAUUCAUACAGCU
Molecule: non-coding RNA, 142 nt
Organism: Triticum aestivum (bread wheat)
Lineage: Eukaryota; Viridiplantae; Streptophyta; Magnoliopsida; Poales; Poaceae
Source: Rfam